This is a non-coding RNA of Acanthosepion pharaonis, 112 nucleotides long. The record is from the annotation of a GenBank genome assembly. Lineage: Eukaryota; Metazoa; Mollusca; Cephalopoda; Sepiida; Sepiidae.
AGGGCCACAUCACGUAGAAACACCAGGUCCCAUACAAUUACCACAGUUAAGCAAUGUCGAGCCUGGUCAGUAACUAGAUGGGUGACCACUUGGAAAUACCAAGUGCUGUAAG